Molecule: long non-coding RNA, 626 nt
Filed under: Fukomys damarensis (Damara mole-rat)
Lineage: Eukaryota; Metazoa; Chordata; Mammalia; Rodentia; Bathyergidae
Description: lncRNA (ENSFDAG00000025491.1)
Source: RNAcentral
CUCAGCUGAGGAAUUCCAAAUGCAAUAUGCCACCUCUUUUACAACAUGUGUUUUGUGUUGGAACACUUUGGAGUUGUGCAUUAAACUCAAGUGAAAGACUAAAACUCAGAAACUGGAAAAUUAGCACUGAAAUGUCUUCAUAAGUUAAGAAGAUUGUUCCUUGUUUUCUGUGGCCUAAUACAAUUUUCUGAGUCUUCGGAGGAAGAUUGUAUUUCAGAUACAUGGAAACUUUCUUGUCACCCUCUCACAGCCUGCCAGAUAGCUAUUUUUGUACUCAUUUAUUCAAAAUCUACUAUUGCACCCAUUCUGUGUACUAGUUGUACUAGGAAGUGCGGCAUUAAGGUAAAAUAGAAGAGGAGUUAUAAGGAAUAAUCAAAAUAUAUGAUGAAUAUUUAAAUUAAAAAGUUAUUACAGUAAAAGACUCAUGAUCAUUGAUCCCCAUAGAAUACUCCUCUUGUUUUAAACACAUUUAACCCGUCCUUCUCGCCACUUUCUGGAAGUCCUCUUUUCUGAGUGUGAUAAAGAAUAGAGUUGGCUGCUGCUACCCAGUGCCAUCUGACAGGAAGGCCGGCUUGUGAAAACAGUGCCAGGUGUCCCAGUCACUCACGUUCUUCACUGGGCCUCAC